UACGUAGGGCGCGAGCGUUGUCCGGAAUUAUUGGGCGUAAAGGGCUUGUAGGCGGCUGGUCGCGUCUGCCGUGAAAUCCUCUGGCUCAGCUGGGGGCGUGCGGUGGGUACGGGCUGGCUUGAGUGCGGUAGGGGAGACUGGAACUCCUGGUGUAGCGGUGGAAUGCGCAGAUAUCAGGAGGAACACCGGUGGCGAAGGCGGGUCUCUGGGCCGUUACUGACGCUGAGGAGCGAAAGCGUGGGGAGCGAACAGGAUUAGAUACCCUGGUAGUCCACGCUGUAAACGUUGGGCACUAGGUGUGGGGGGCCUUUUCCGGGUUUUCCGCGCCGUACUAACGCAUUAAGUGCCCCGCCUGGGGAGUACGCCGCAAGGCUAAAACUCAAAGGAAUUGACGGGGGCCCGCACAAGCGGCGGAGCAUGCGGAUUAAUUCGAUGCAACGCGAAAAACCUUACCAAGGCUUGACAUGGGCUGGAUUGCUUCGGAAAACGGGGUUUCCCUUUUUUGGGCUGGUUCACAGGUGGUGCAUGGUUGUCGUCAGCUCGUGUCGUGAGAUGUUGGGUUAAGUCCCGCAACGAGCGCAACCCUUGUCUCGUGUUGCCAGCACGUUGUGGUGGGGACUCGCGGGAGACUGCCGGGGUUAACUCGGAGGAAGGUGGGGAUGACGUCAAAUCAUCAUGCCCCUUAUGUCUUGGGCUUCACGCAUGCUACAAUGGCCGGUACAGUGGGUUGCGAUGCUGUGAGGCGGAGCGAAUCCCUGAAAGCCGGUCUCAGUUCGGAUCGGUGUCUGCAACUCGACACCGUGAAGUUGGAGUCGCUAGUAAUCGCAGAUCAGCAGCGCUGCGGUGAAUACGUUCUCGGGCCUUGUACACACCGCCCGUCACGUCAUGAAAGCUGGCAACACCCGAAGCCCGUGGCCUUAUGGGGAGCGGUCGAAGGUGGGGCUGGUGAUUGGGACGAAUCCGUAACAAGU
This 971-nucleotide ribosomal RNA is filed under the name human oral bacterium C5. RNAcentral's name for it is "bacterial SSU rRNA". It matches the Rfam family "Bacterial small subunit ribosomal RNA", at positions 524 to 1496 of the family's 1533-position model. The record is from RNAcentral.